GAUGAACGCUGGCGGCGUGCCUAAUACAUGCAAGUCGAGCGAACGGGCGAGAAGCUUGCUUUUCUGAUGUUAGCGGCGGACGGGUGAGUAACACGUGGAUAACCUACCUAUAAGACUGGGAUAACUUCGGGACACCGGCGCUAAUCCCGGAUAAUAUUUUGAUGCGCAUGGUUCAAUAGUGAAAGACGGUCUUGCUGUCACUUAUCGAUGGUUCUGCGCUGCAUGAGCUAGUUGGUAAGGUAACGGCUUACCAAGGCUACGAGGCAUAACCGACCUGUGAGGGUGAUCGGCCACACUAGAGGUGAGACACGGUCCAGACUCCUACGGGAGGCAGCAGAAGGGAAUCGGCCGCAAUGGGCGGAAGCCUGGCGGAGCAGCGCGGCGCGAGUGAUGAAGGUCUCCGGAUCGUAAAACUCUGUUAUGAGGGAAGAACAGAUGUGUAAGUAACUGAGCACAUCUUGACGGUACCUAAUCAGAAAGCCACGGCUAACUACGUG
RNAcentral lists this ribosomal RNA (497 nucleotides) under uncultured bacterium. RNAcentral describes it as "partial 16S ribosomal RNA". It matches the Rfam family "Bacterial small subunit ribosomal RNA", at positions 28 to 507 of the family's 1533-position model. The record is from RNAcentral.